CACUACCUUGCCUGUCCCAAACCCUUUCCAGUCCUCCUAUGUCUUAGGAGAGAAUGGAUAGUGUUGGAGACCAUGAAGGAUACACCAUCUUGAAAAAAUCCAUCAGUAUGCGGUUUGAGAUCCUUAAGAAAUCUGGUGUAUGGGAAUAUAGCAGAGAGUCAUUGAAGUCCACCAGCAAGACAAAAGUCAGGAUGAGUGGUGUGGCUUGGGUUGCAUUAGAUGACCUUGGUUCCACAGCCUGUUUCAGCCACCUUGAUGUGUGUAGGAACAAACUGUUCUCAUCCACCCAUUCCAUCAGGGAGAGACCCAGAGAAGGACAGCUGGGAUGCCACCUUAUCUCAUGGUGAACCCCUCAAUCUUUAUAUAGUGAUAGGAAGACCAGAUUUUGAGUCCAAACACCUGCAUGUGAGAUCUUGCUGGAUGUCCACCUGGUAAGACAUUUAGCUUCUCUGA
RNAcentral lists this long non-coding RNA (453 nucleotides) under Monodelphis domestica (gray short-tailed opossum). Its description in RNAcentral is "lncRNA (ENSMODG00000044164.1)". Lineage: Eukaryota; Metazoa; Chordata; Mammalia; Didelphimorphia; Didelphidae. The record is from RNAcentral.